AGCGAACGCUGGCGGCAGGCCUAACACAUGCAAGUCGAACGAACCUUUCGGGGUUUGUUGCGGACGGGUGAGUACCACGUGGGAACGUGCCCUUAGGUUCGCAAUCACUCAGGGAAACUUGUGCUCAUACCGCAUGUGCCCUUCGGGGUAAAGAUUUAUCGCCUCUAGAGCGGCCCGCGUCUGAUUCGCCGGUUGGUUGGGGUAAUGGCUCACCACGGCGAGGAUCAGUAGCUGGUCCGAGAGGAGGAUCAGCCACAUUGGGACUAAGACACGGCCCAAACACGAGGGAGAGGCGGCGGAGGGGAAUCUUGCGCAGGGAGCGAAAGCCAGACACGGCCAGGGCGCGGGAAUGAUGAGGGUCUUGGAAUUGUAAAAUUCUUUCAACGGGGAGGAUGAGGAGGGUACCGGUAGAAAAGGCCCCGCCUACUUCGUG
This 433-nucleotide ribosomal RNA is filed under the name uncultured bacterium. Its description in RNAcentral is "partial 16S ribosomal RNA". It matches the Rfam family "Bacterial small subunit ribosomal RNA", at positions 29 to 507 of the family's 1533-position model. The record is from RNAcentral.